AGGGCUGUAGUUAAUUAUAAUAUACGAUUUGCAUUUGUAAGGUGCUCUAGAGCCAGUCUUA
RNAcentral lists this transfer RNA (61 nucleotides) under Baetis sp. PC-2010. RNAcentral's name for it is "tRNA-Ala". Lineage: Eukaryota; Metazoa; Arthropoda; Insecta; Ephemeroptera; Baetidae. The record is from RNAcentral.